This 625-nucleotide ribosomal RNA is filed under the name uncultured Actinomycetes bacterium. RNAcentral's name for it is "bacterial SSU rRNA". It matches the Rfam family "Bacterial small subunit ribosomal RNA", at positions 242 to 878 of the family's 1533-position model. Lineage: Bacteria; Bacillati; Actinomycetota; Actinomycetes. The record is from RNAcentral.
CAGCUUGUUGGUGGGGUAAUGGCCUACCAAGGCGACGACGGGUAGCCGACCUGAGAGGGUGACCGGCCACACUGGGACUGAGACACGGCCCAGACUCCUACGGGAGGCAGCACUGGGGAAUAUUGCACAAUGGGCGAAAGCCUGAUGCAGCGACGCCGCGUGAGGGAUGAAGGCCUUCGGGUUGUAAACCUCUUUCAGCAGGGACGAAGCGCAAGUGACGGUACCUGCAGAAGAAGCACCGGCUAACUACGUGCCUGCAGCCGCGGUAAUACGUAGGGUGCGAGCGUUGUCCGGAAUUACUGGGCGUAAAGAGUUCGUAGGCGGUUUGUCGCGUCGUUUGUGAAAACCCGGGGCUCAACUUCGGGCUUGCAGGCGAUACGGGCAGACUUGAGUGUUUCAGGGGAGACUGGAAUUCCUGGUGUAGCGGUGAAAUGCGCAGAUAUCAGGAGGAACACCGGUGGCGAAGGCGGGUCUCUGGGAAACAACUGACGCUGAGGAACGAAAGCGUGGGUAGCAAACAGGAUUAGAUACCCUGGUAGUCCACGCCGUAAACGGUGGGCGCUAGGUGUGGGUUCCUUCCACGGAAUCUGUGCCGUAGCUAACGCAUUAAGCGCCCCGCCUGGGG